RNAcentral lists this long non-coding RNA (519 nucleotides) under Elaeis guineensis (African oil palm). RNAcentral's name for it is "long non-coding RNA (EGUI_LNC068183)". Lineage: Eukaryota; Viridiplantae; Streptophyta; Magnoliopsida; Arecales; Arecaceae. The record is from RNAcentral.
AUCACAUCGAUUUACAUUUGAUGUGAAUUGAUUGACUUAAAAUCAAAUUUGACUCAGUGGAUCGAGCCCAAGUAGCUAGGCAGAUCUAUUCAAUUCUAAUUGACCAAUUGGUAUCGAAAGGAAGUCUCGAUCGAUAAUUUUUAAUUGGAAGCAUGCUUACCUAGCCAUUUCGAUGGUGUCUAAGGCAAGCAUUGACAUGCCCUCCAUUGGUCUCACUUAUCUGGCCAACUUGAUCGGUUAAGUUUUGAAUAAGAUUGCUUAGUUAUUCGUGUUCAUCCAUGCCGACUGGGAUCGUCAGAUAUGAGACUAUGCUGACUUGAACCUGAUCAGUCAGACAUGAGAUUAUACUGUCUAGAUGAGAUCUGAACCCAAACCUUCCCAUAAAUAUUAAGUUCUAGGUCUUCCAUUAUUGUAGGAGUGCAGACGUCCUACUGAUGUUGAUUAUUCUCGGUUGAUUACAGUGGUUCAGUUGCAUAGAAAAGAUGCAACUAUUCCAUUAGCAUGAAAUGUUGCUAGGUA